UACAGAGGUCCCAAGCGUUGUUCGGAUUCACUGGGCGUAAAGGGUGCGUAGGCGGUCGGGUAAGUCUGAUGUGAAAUCUCACAGCUUAACUGUGAAACUGCAUUGGAUACUAUCCGGCUAGAGGAAUGGAGGGGAGACUGGAAUACUUGGUGUAGCAGUGAAAUGCGUAGAUAUCAAGUGGAACACCAGUGGCGAAGGCGAGUCUCUGGACAUUUCCUGACGCUGAGGCACGAAAGCCGGGGGAGCAAACGGG
This 253-nucleotide ribosomal RNA is filed under the name uncultured bacterium. RNAcentral's name for it is "partial 16S ribosomal RNA". It matches the Rfam family "Bacterial small subunit ribosomal RNA", at positions 524 to 776 of the family's 1533-position model. The record is from RNAcentral.